RNAcentral lists this ribosomal RNA (253 nucleotides) under uncultured prokaryote. RNAcentral describes it as "partial 16S ribosomal RNA". It matches the Rfam family "Bacterial small subunit ribosomal RNA", at positions 524 to 776 of the family's 1533-position model. The record is from RNAcentral.
UACGAGGGGGGCAAGUGUUGUUCGGAAUUACUGGGCGUAAAGGGAGCGUAGGCGGGAUGGCAAGUCGGUCGUGAAAUCCUUCGGCUCAACCGAAGAACGUCGAUCGAUACUGCUGUUCUUGAGGGUUGCAGAGGAGACUGGAAUUCCCGGUGUAGCGGUGAAAUGUGUAGAGAUCGGGAGGAACACCGGUGGCGAAGGCGGGUCUCUGGGCAAUUCCUGACGCUGAGGCGCGAAAGCGUGGGGAGCAAACGGG